CAUACUAGCCAAAUUGGAAAAGGCGCUUGAUUUAGGUUCAGGAUAAUGUGGGUUCAAUUCCCACGUAUG
RNAcentral lists this transfer RNA (69 nucleotides) under Calothrix sp. 336/3. It matches the Rfam family "tRNA". From Rfam's summary of the family: Transfer RNA (tRNA) molecules are approximately 80 nucleotides in length. Their secondary structure includes four short double-helical elements and three loops (D, anti-codon, and T loops). The record is from Rfam by way of RNAcentral. Lineage: Bacteria; Bacillati; Cyanobacteriota; Cyanophyceae; Nostocales; Calotrichaceae.